RNAcentral lists this ribosomal RNA (425 nucleotides) under uncultured soil bacterium. Its description in RNAcentral is "bacterial SSU rRNA". It matches the Rfam family "Bacterial small subunit ribosomal RNA", at positions 207 to 623 of the family's 1533-position model. The record is from RNAcentral.
CAAGACCUUGCGCUCUUGGAGCGGCCGAUGCCUGAUUAGCUAGUUGGUGAGGUAAAGGCUUACCAAGGCGACGAUCAGUAGCUGGUCUGAGAGGACGACCAGCCACACUGGGACUGAGACACGGCCCAGACUCCUACGGGAGGCAGCAGUGGGGAAUUUUGGACAAUGGGGGAAACCCUGAUCCAGCCAUGCCGCGUGAGUGAAGAAGGCCUUCGGGUUGUAAAGCUCUUUCAGCCGGAACGAAACGGUCGCGGCUAAUACCUGUGACUACUGACGGUACCGGAAGAAGAAGCACCGGCUAACUACGUGCCAGCAGCCGCGGUAAUACGUAGGGUGCAAGCGUUAAUCGGAAUUACUGGGCGUAAAGCGCGCGCAGGCGGUUUUGUAAGUCAGAUGUGAAAUCCCCGGGCUUAACCUGGGAACUG